GUUUAUCUGUGAUGCAUUGAAAAGUGUACAUUUUACUUAAUGAAUGUGUACAAUUUAAAUGGGAACUUUUUGUGCAUUCUGUCCAAACAAAUUUGCACAAAAUGGGACAAAAUGAAGCCAUGACUGAAGGUCAUGGCUGCAUGGUGGAGCAUCUGCUUUGCAUCCAUAAGAUCCCAGGUUCCAUUGCCAACAUCUCCCGGUACGGCUGGGAGAGACCCCUCUCCGAAAUCCUGGAGAGUUUCUGCCUGUCAUUGUAGACAACACAGAGCUAGAUCAACCAAUGGUCUGACUCAGUAAAAGGUAGUUCCCCGUAUUCCUAUGUCCCCGUCUGUCAUCCAUACAAAGCUACAUUUACAUUUUAGCAGUGCAAGUUUGCUUACAAUUGCAAGAAGGUGGGUUUCAAUUGCAUUAAAAACUUGCAGCAUAAUCUCCCAAAAAGAUAUAAAUGGUCUUAAAGAAAAUAACAAAGAGCACCAAAGAUGUAUGUGUUGUUUUGCUAAGCAACAAGACAGUGUCACUCUUUAAUUUAUGAAAUGACAAAGGAAUCUGGUAUUUGGUUUUCUGUUAACAUUGUAUGUUGAAAGGCCUUCUCAUCCAUUCCAAAGUUUGAGGGACAAGACACACCUUUUUUAAUUGUCUUGGCUUUGAAAAGAAUGAUUUUCAGGGGAGGAGAAUUAUUGGCUCUCAUUGGCUGUCGGAAAUCCUCGCCUCUCCGACCUGUUUGAAGAUAUGAUUUGCUGCACACAGAGAGUGAAUGCAGAGCCCGGAACAACAAUACCCUCGUGGAAAGAGUCAGACCCAGCUGGGGAGAUUGCAAAUCUCAGCUUGUUACAGGAGGCCUUAAGACGAUUGUCUGCCUUUAUAAGUGUGUGUGGGAAAACAAACAUGGCUUAAUUAUUCUCAGAUUAGCAUGCUUCUCCAAUGAAUUUGAUAGCAGCUGCUGAAAUUCAUUGAGAUGUCUCCCUGGAGAAGAACAAGUCUUUUCAUGAAAGAUGUCGGCGGAAGAACACAGUGCGCCAAUCAACUUUGGUUUGUCUUUGCGGAAACCAGUUAAGGUCAAGGAGUUUGUACUUCUAUUAAACUGAAAAGCCAGCCUUGAGAAAUAGGUGGUGUAGCCAGAGCUCUCAGGCAGGCUGAAAUCAGACUUGUGAGACCAAAGAAGGCUUUUCUUUGCCAGAAGACACUUCCAUUCAGUGAGCUUUCACCACAAUUGUUCAGGAUGAAAAGUAACUGAUUAUCCUGACUAUGUUCAUUAAUGGAUAGAAUAAUUUGAGGUUUCAUUAUGCAGGAUGGGUUAUGGUUGAGCACCUUAUGCUGGGGAGGUUUGCUGUCUUGAUGGCAUGUGGGAACAUUGUGCUGCUGUUGUACAGUGCAUGCAGAGAGUUCUUGGGUGGAAUGGAGGGCUUUGUCUGUAUGCAACAGGUGGCCUGUGACUCCAUUUGGCUAAAAAGAAUGGAUUUCUGUUCAGAGAAAUGGCACUUGCAACUCUGUAACUCUUCAGUAUUGUUUUCUUUCUUGGUGUGAUAGUAGCUUAGUGGUAGAGCACAUGCUUUGCAUGCAAAAGCUCCCAGGUUUAAUCUCCAAGUGGAGCUGGAAAAGACUCAUCAGUCUGUGUUGAUGAUGUUGACCUAGAUGGAUAGCUGGUCUGACUCACUAUAACUCCCUAUGUUCCUGUGGUGUGCACAGAGGACAGAUAGCUAACAUGUUGCACUCCCAGAAUUGCUGAGCUCCAACCGCCCUAGCCAGCAUGACCAAUGGCCAGGAAUGAUGGGAGCUGUAAUCCAACAACUAUCUGGUAGGUACCACAUUGGCUACCUCAGCUUAGAGACUGGGAGAAUGGCCUUCAGUGGGUGGGUGUUUCCUCUAGCCCAUGCUAUUUCAAACUUGGGUCCCCAGAUGUUGUUGGACUACAAUGCCCAUCAUCCCUAGCUACCAGGACCAAUGGUCAGAGAUAAUGGGAGUUGUAAUCCAAUAACAUUUGGAGACCCAAGUUUGAGAAAGGCUGCUCUAGCCCCGUGGAAACCUACAACAUAGCAUCACUCCAUAUGAUAUUCUUGGUAAAAAUGAAUGGCUGCCCCAAAUGACCAGUCAUGACAUAGCAUCAUUCCCACAGGGUCAUUCUCAAUGAGGAAUGCCGCUGGGCUUCCCUACUGUUGCACUGUCUUCACUUUAAGUGGCAGCAAAGCUUUUAAACUAUCAUCAACUCAAAUAGGCAUUUACUUACUAAAUUUGGAAUUUAUUGGAAGCAGGAAGUCCUGUUAAUUCAUUACAGCAAGGCCGAAGCGGUUGUGUUUGCCAAGAAGCAUGAGCAAUGUAAACCGGCUCUGGCUGUUCACAGGAUUGAACAGUGCCAUCCAUUCAAACAUUUCGGGCUCUAUUUCUCUGAAAAUAACUUAUGGCAUACCCACAUGGAGGCAAUUUCAGCCUCAGCAGCCUGCUCACUGUAGUCUAUAAUGAAGCUCACCUUUACUGAGGGCCAUCAUUUGUUAGAAGCACCAUUGUGUCCCAUCAUUUUUAUGGUGCAGCAAUUUGGGGGGUAGCCAUUGCAGAGAUUUAACUUCUACAUAAUUAAAAGUGAGGUCUUGCACAUGGUCUUGGCAGUAUCACACAGCACACCUGGCACAUUAUUAAGGAUUUUCUUCUAUAAAAGCACACAUGCAUAAAUCCAUCAUAUUGCACUGGGGAAAGCCAUCUUUGAUGUCAGAUCAACAUUUAACAAUAUUGUGCUUUUAGAUGUACAGAAUAGUAAAAUAAAAAGAAGGACUUCAACCCUCUGCCACCUCAUAUCUUAUCAUGGAAAACCAUUCAUCCCAAUAUGUGAAUUUCUCCCAACCCUCCAAAAGCUCAGUGGGUGGGCAUGCCAACCCAUUGGGACAGCUCUGUUCCUACCAUGCAGUUCUGACCCCCCCUGCCUUGACCCCCCCACCUUGAUCUUAGACUCCUUAAACUUGGACUGCUGGUUUCACCUUACCUAACUAGCCUGAGCGUAAUUAUGGAUGCUGUGGCUCAUUAACUGAUGUUGAAUAUGAGUCUCUUAUCUUCCAUAAUAAAAACAUCUUCCUUACUCUCUAUCAAAAACAAAACAAAAGACAAAACAAAAGUCUCCCCAAAGUCCCUGACCCUUUAAUGUGAAACUAAUGGCCCCAUGAAAGGAGUGAUUUUCAGCUAGCAAUAUCCAAAGCAGAACACCUGGUAGGGAAGGAAAUGGACCCUUUGCAUGCCCAUUUUCCAUCCCAAGGUCUUAAAAGCUCACCUGUAGAUUGCAGCUCUGCUUUGAGGGACACCAUUUCCAUUCAUUAAUGUAAUACACUUGCUAAUGAACUACCAUUUAGGUUUUAAUGGGCCAUAAAUCAGAAUGAUCCCAUGAAAUGACAAGGGCAUUGGACCUCGUUAUUCAAAGUGUCUCCCCUGGGACAACAGUCUGCUGGGUCAGUGACUUAGCAUAGGGCAGUUGCAACUGCUCUUG
This is a non-coding RNA of Podarcis lilfordi (Lilford's wall lizard), 3466 nucleotides long. NCBI's taxonomy places the organism in Eukaryota, Metazoa, Chordata, Lepidosauria, Squamata, Lacertidae. The record is from the annotation of a GenBank genome assembly.